RNAcentral lists this ribosomal RNA (305 nucleotides) under uncultured bacterium. RNAcentral's name for it is "bacterial SSU rRNA". It matches the Rfam family "Bacterial small subunit ribosomal RNA", at positions 333 to 655 of the family's 1533-position model. The record is from RNAcentral.
UGCGUCCUACGGGGGGCAGCAGUGGGGAAUAUUGCACAAUGGGGGGAACCCUGACGCAGCAACGCCGCGUGCGGGACGAAGGCCCUCGGGUUGUAAACCGCUUUCAGCAGGGAAGAUCCAAGACGGUACCUGCAGAAGAAGCUCCGGCUAACUACGUGCCAGCAGCCGCGGUAAUACGUAGGGGGCGAGCGUUAUCCGGAUUCAUUGGGCGUAAAGCGCGCGUAGGCGGCCGCCUAAGCGGGACCUCUAACCCCGGGGCUCAACCCCGGGCCGGGUCCCGGACUGGGCGGCUCGAGAGCGGGAGG